CGGUCUAUGUCACCUUUAAUGAAAGAAAAAAUAUUCAUUAUAGCUUUAAUAAUGAUGGAUUAACCUGUAACUGAAGCCUUGGACAGGAGUAGACCUGGUUGUAUGAUAUUGAAUUCAGCUUUAUCAAUGUGCUACAGAGUGACGACUGUGUCUUCUGUGCUUGCCUGUAUGCAAAUUGAAAGGAAUCCUAGGAAUGAGCUCUUCCUGAGUUGAGAUGUUGGACUAUAGUCUAAAUGUGUCCAUAUAUUAUAUCUGUGUUAUUGUCUGGUUUCAGCAAGUGUCCUAUUGUAAGACAGUAGAGGUGACAGCUCUAAACAUGUGAGAGGAAAAACUAUUUUAAUUUAAUUUUCAUCAUCAGCCUGUGGAAAAAUCCUGUGUGUCAACAUGUCACUGCUGCUAACAGCACUAAUGAUUAUUGAAUUAUUUAAAGUACUUUUUAUGAAAAUGCAAAGUCAAAGAUCAUGUUUUUCCUCUCACAUGUCUCACACUGUCUGACAUGAGGACACAGACAACAACACAAACACAUGUGCAGGUAGGCAAGCAGGUAGAUACAUAGGGAGGCACGAAGGCCGUCAUCAGUGUCAACAAUUCACUGCUGCCAACAACGCUAACGAUUAUUGAAUUAUUUAAAGUCCUUGUUUGAACUCCAAACUCAUGAUAAUUAUUUGAUUGAAUCUGCAUGUGUUUAUACUGAGGAGGAAACAUGUCAGGUGUUCACCUGCACCUCCUCUGUGAGUGAAGUCAUCUACAUUAACCUGGAGAAACCAUCAGUCAUCAGAGGAGGUGGACUAAAGACACAGUUCCAUUAUACAGUAGGUACAUAUGUGUGUAGGUAGGUACGCAACAAUAAUUAUCAAGAGUUUGGAGUUCAUACAAGGAAUCCACUCAAGAACAAACAUAAAAUUAAAAUAUCAUUGACUUUUAUUUGGUUUAUAACUCCACCCCUCUUGUCUGAGUUCACCAGAUAAAAAAGGACAAACUCUUGUGUCGUCGUCAAUCUGAAACAACACUUUCAAAAACAACCAUGGGUCGUUAUGGUGUGGCUGUUCUGGCUCUGCUCGUUCUCCUGAUGCUUUAUGUUGCAGAGAACGAGGCUCAGUCUAUAAGCAGAAUCCGUUGGACAUGCCGAUCUGAGUGUCGGUCAUAUGAAUAUGCACUUAGUGUGGGCUGCGGCGACCAACUGUGUUGCUGUGCGGCUUCAUUCAGACAGAGCUGGAAUCAGAUGGUCGGACAGUGAGAAGACAAUGUUGCUCACUCUACUGACCUCGAAAUAUUCAAAUCAGUUCUUCUGCUGAUUUCAGUUCAGGUGGAAUAAAUAUUCCCUUAACAUCA
Solea senegalensis (Senegalese sole) is the source of this 1332-nucleotide long non-coding RNA. RefSeq lists it as uncharacterized. Lineage: Eukaryota; Metazoa; Chordata; Actinopteri; Pleuronectiformes; Soleidae. The transcript has 3 exons. The record is from RefSeq and is a predicted model, not a curated record.